RNAcentral lists this long non-coding RNA (347 nucleotides) under Androctonus crassicauda. Lineage: Eukaryota; Metazoa; Arthropoda; Arachnida; Scorpiones; Buthidae. The record is from RNAcentral.
AGAUAGAUCAUGGACUGUACCAACGAAAUGGAUUGGUUCCCUGGGGGGGGAGAGGAGCGGUGGAAUUCGCUGUGGAUUUCUUUGGAUCGCAUAUUUCCAGGUUGUGCUUGAUCCAUCAGCUUGCUUGAUAUUGAUGAUGAUAUUCGUUUUGCAGUUCCUUAGGAUUUCAAUUUUUUCGGCUGGGGGUGGCGUUUUGCGGUCGUACACAUUUUUUAUAGCUUGUGUGUCAUGUCAGAGGAUUUUCGUAUCUUUUUCAGGGGCUCUUAGGGCCAAGGCUGGUGUUGAGGUUACCCGUAGAUAUGUUGUCCAUGUGUUCUGUAACUCUGUCCUUAAAAUUUCGAGCUGUA